UACGAAGGGGGCUAGCGUUGCUCGGAAUCACUGGGCGUAAAGCGCACGUAGGCGGCUUUCUAAGUCAGGGGUGAAAGCCCAAGGCUCAACCUUGGAAUUGCCUUUGAUACUGAGGGCCUUGAGACCGGAAGAGGUCGGCGGAACUGCGAGUGUAGAAGUGAAAUUCGUAGAUAUUCGCAAGAACACCAGUGGCGAAGGCGGCCGACUGGUCCGGUUCUGACGCUGAGGCGCGAAAGCGUGGGGAGCAAACAGG
This 253-nucleotide ribosomal RNA is filed under the name uncultured bacterium. RNAcentral's name for it is "partial 16S ribosomal RNA". It matches the Rfam family "Bacterial small subunit ribosomal RNA", at positions 524 to 776 of the family's 1533-position model. The record is from RNAcentral.